This 253-nucleotide ribosomal RNA is filed under the name uncultured bacterium. RNAcentral describes it as "partial 16S ribosomal RNA". It matches the Rfam family "Bacterial small subunit ribosomal RNA", at positions 524 to 776 of the family's 1533-position model. The record is from RNAcentral.
UACAGAGGGUGCGAGCGUUAAUCGGAAUUACUGGGCGUAAAGCGCGCGUAGGCGGCUUUGCAAGUCGAGUGUGAAAUCCCCAGGCUUAACCUGGGAACUGCAUUCGAGACUGCAUAGCUAGAGUAUGGGAGAGGGAAGUGGAAUUCCCGGUGUAGUGGUGAAAUGCGUAGAUAUCGGAAGGAACAUCAGUGGCGAAAGCGACUUCCUGGACCAAUACUGACGCUCAUGUGCGAAAGCGUGGGGAGCAAACAGG